AGCAGUGCUAACUGUAUGAGCUUUAGGAUGUUUCAAGACAAGAUUUACAGUACCAAACCCUCUUCAUAGCCUUAUUUGGAGCAAAUGCACUGUCUUCAAGCAGUAUUUAUUUACUCCCGGAAAUUAAUACAAGUACAGAUCUGCUUGGAACAGCAGAUCUGUAUCCCAUAGCAGACCCUAUCCCAUUGCUUCUGAAUCACCCUUUGGGCCCAUUGCCAUCCCACCUAGGAAGGUUUGCUACUUCUUAUCACCUGGAUGCUGGUAACGAUGGGAGGCUGCCAAGGGAAAGAGUGAGGCCUAGGGCAACCAGGGUGUAGUUUAGCCUCUGAAGCAAGGACAUGGUUCAUGGAUCUGUUUUAGCUGCUGUAUAGCAGGGCAGGAAAGUGUACUACAUCUGCACAGUCAGUAUACAGAUGGGAAAGAUGUUAAAAAAUAGCCUUAUAAAUUAAAAAAAUAGCACCUUAUAAAUUAAAUCUCAUCUCACAAGGUGUUCUACACCUGGGCAAUCUAUAAGAAAUGAUUCUGGUAUCAAUCGCAGGCUCUGUGGCAAACAUGCCAUGAAAACCCAGACUCAAGAAGUUUCUAGGCUCCUGGAGGAUCAAGUCUACCACAGCACAGCAAAGUGGUUGCUGCACCAGAUUCUGCCAGAUUUUUUUGUCUUCACGGUCCGAGAUGGAAAUAUUCUCCCAUUUUCAAGACUAGCAGAACAUCCUGUAUCCUGGAUGAGAGCACCCAGCUCUUCUUUUCAAGCCAAGCCGUGAAAGCAAAGGAGAACCAAGCAGCAGCCAGGUUUUCGACGCUGAGUGUCCUGAAGAAGAUGCUGAGAUCAUGGCAAUCAGCAUUCACUGAGUGAGCGCCCACUGCAUGACAACCCAGGUGCUUCCUCAGAAAGCUGAUGAGUUGACUGGCAUCAGAGACUUUCCAAACCAAGGAGUUGGAUGGAAAGGACCACGAGGGAAAUUGGCUGCAUGCCCAAGAGAAGGCUUUGAAACAAUGCAAUCCCGUUUUCACAAUGUCCAUAAUGGAGAUGUGAUGUCCAAAUCUCCAGUGCCACUGUGCUUGCACGGGCAGAGCCCUGCCAGCUGUUCAGUCAGGCUGUGGCUGAAUUUGCCACAAGUGCAAGUCCUAGGAUUUGGAUUCAAGACGAGGAGUGGGACCUCAUCCCACAGAAAGCUUUUCCACCAAGCAAGCCUGGGGUGUCAGACUGGGAGCCUGUUUCUGUUUUCUACAUUGUAUUCAGCUCAAUCAAUCAUUCAGCAGCUUCCAUCAUCCUUAUUUUUCCUCUGUCUUUCCCAGUUAGACCUUGUUCUCUUUAGACUGGUGGUAGGUUUGUGCCUUGUACAGGGGGUGCUCAACUGAGCUGGGGACAUGAUGGCUGCUGUCACGCUGAUCAUAAUUUUCCUCAGAAAGGAAACAGCAAAUGCCUUUGUAUUUUGUUCUCCCACUAUUGUGCUCCCAGACCCCGUCUCCAAGGACAGGACCCCUCCCCUUUGCCUCCUUUUUAUGAUUUGCCUUGCCUUCCCCAAGCCCUGCUGCUGACUGCACUCUCACUGAUUAUUUUUUUUUUAGAGGCUGUAAACCUCAGCUCCAGCUCAGCUCGCAUUACUGUCAGAGAAGUAUCUCUUGGCUGUUUACAGAAGAGAAAAUGGAAAGAUGAGCAUUAUUUCAUGUGAAAUGUGGUAGAGAGCCUAUGCUGAGCUUCUUUGAGAGGCCUGAGGCUCCAGCUACCUGAAGAAGGCAGUGAAAGCUUCCGUCAUCUGGUGAUUCAGCUCUCCCUGCCACGGCUCUGGCCCUGCUCUGCGUGGGUGUCUCACAGCUCUCAUCAACUCUGAUUUUGAUGCAGACCAGGAGCUACUGGGCUGAUCGCCCAAGUUUACCUUGUAUGAAAGAGUUUGCUGGCUGUUCAGUUGUCUGGUGUUCUCUUGAAGAUGUAAAAUAAAUAAAUAAAUACAUACAUACCUAAAUAAAA
Coturnix japonica (Japanese quail) is the source of this 1969-nucleotide non-coding RNA. NCBI's taxonomy places the organism in Eukaryota, Metazoa, Chordata, Aves, Galliformes, Phasianidae. The record is from RefSeq and is a predicted model, not a curated record.